AGAGUUUGAUCCUGGCACAGGACGAACGCUGGCGGCGUGCCUAACGCAUGCAAGUCGAGCGGAGAUCGCAGUAAUGUAAUCUUAGCGGCAGACGGGUGAGUAACGCGUGGGAACAUACCCUCCGGUUCGGAAUAGCUCAGGGAAACUUGGAUUAAUACCGGAUACGGCUGAGAGGCGAAAGAUUUAUCGCCGGAGGAUUGGCCCGCGUUCGAUUAGCUUGUUGGUGAGGUAACGGCUUACCAAGGCGAUGAUCGACAGCUGGUCUGAGAGGAUGAUCAGCCACAUUGGGACUGAGACACGGCCCAAACUCCUACGGGAGGCAGCAGUGGGGAAUAUUGGACAAUGGGCGCAAGCCUGAUCCAGCCAUGCCGCGUGAGUGAUGACGGCCUUAGGGUUGUAAAGCUCUUUCGCUCGGGACGAUAAUGACGGUACCGAGAUAAGAAGCCCCGGCUAACUUCGUGCCAGCAGCCGCGGUAAUACGAAGGGGGCUAGCGUUGUUCGGAAUUACUGGGCGUAAAGCGCGUGUAGGCGGGUCUUUAAGUCAGGGGUGAAAUGCCAAGGCUCAACCUUGGAACUGCCUUUGAUACUGGAGAUCUUGAGUCCGGGAGAGGUGAGUGGAAUUGCGAGUGUAGAGGUGAAAUUCGUAGAUAUUCGCAAGAACACCAGUGGCGAAGGCGGCUCACUGGCCCGGAACUGACGCUGAGACGCGAAAGCGUGGGGAGCAAACAGGAUUAGAUACCCUGGUAGUCCACGCUGUAAACGAUGGAUGCUAGCCGUUGGGGAGCUUGCUCUUCAGUGGCGCAGCUAACGCUUUAAGCA
Molecule: ribosomal RNA, 819 nt
Filed under: uncultured bacterium
Lineage: Bacteria
Description: bacterial SSU rRNA
Rfam family: Bacterial small subunit ribosomal RNA
Source: RNAcentral